CCAUACCAGUCGGGGCAGUAGCGGCGCCUUGUACCUGAAAUCCGCUAUAGCAGGGGUUCAUUCCCAACCCGAGGAUUGCUUUUGUGUAGUCUACACCGUCAUUAUCUAUGUUGAAGAAUGGGUCUUGCGCAACGCGAGGCUGUGAACCAUGUCAGGUGGGGAACCAAGCAGCAUUAAGCGGUUUAUCGCGUGUGCCGCGAGGGUGCCUGUUCGGAGCAGAGGUGGCGGUUACCGUAUGUAAGAGUAUUUUCGACGGUGGGUGUAUGG
This 267-nucleotide signal recognition particle RNA is filed under the name Clostridia bacterium. Its description in RNAcentral is "signal recognition particle sRNA large type". It matches the Rfam family "Bacterial large signal recognition particle RNA". Rfam says of the family: The signal recognition particle (SRP) is a universally conserved ribonucleoprotein involved in the co-translational targeting of proteins to membranes. Archaeal SRP consists of a 7S RNA and homologues of the eukaryotic SRP19 and SRP54 proteins. In most bacteria, the SRP consists of a 4.5S RNA and the Ffh protein (a homologue of the eukaryotic SRP54 protein). The record is from RNAcentral. Lineage: Bacteria; Bacillati; Bacillota; Clostridia.